GACGAACGCUGGCGGCGUGCUUAACACAUGCAAGUCGAACGGAAAGGCCCUGCUUUUGUGGGGUGCUCGAGUGGCGAACGGGUGAGUAACACGUGAGUAACCUGCCCUUGACUUUGGGAUAACUUCAGGAAACUGGGGCUAAUACCGGAUAGGAGCUCCAGCUGCAUGGUGGGGGUUGGAAAGUUUCGGCGGUUGGGGAUGGACUCGCGGCUUAUCAGCUUGUUGGUGGGGUAGUGGCUUACCAAGGCUUUGACGGGUAGCCGGCCUGAGAGGGUGACCGGCCACAUUGGGACUGAGAUACGGCCCAGACUCCUACGGGAGGCAGCAGUGGGGAAUAUUGCACAAUGGGCGGAAGCCUGAUGCAGCAACGCCGCGUGCGGGAUGACGGCCUUCGGGUUGUAAACCGCUUUCGCCUGUGACGAAGCGUGAGUGACGGUAAUGGGUAAAGAAGCACCGGCUAACUACG
This 466-nucleotide ribosomal RNA is filed under the name uncultured bacterium. RNAcentral describes it as "partial 16S ribosomal RNA". It matches the Rfam family "Bacterial small subunit ribosomal RNA", at positions 28 to 505 of the family's 1533-position model. The record is from RNAcentral.